This 495-nucleotide ribosomal RNA is filed under the name uncultured bacterium. Its description in RNAcentral is "partial 16S ribosomal RNA". It matches the Rfam family "Bacterial small subunit ribosomal RNA", at positions 30 to 507 of the family's 1533-position model. The record is from RNAcentral.
UGAACGCUGGCGGCGUGCCCAAUACAUGCAAGUCGAGCGAACGGACGAGAAGCUUGCUUCUCUGAUGUUAGCGGCGGACGGGUGAGUAACACGUGGAUAACCUACCUAUAAGACUGGGAUAACUUCGGGAAACCGGAGCUAAUACCGGAUGAUAUUUUGAACCGCAUGGUUCACAAGUGAAAGACGGUCUUGCUGUCACUUAUAGAUGGAUCCGCGCUGCAUUAGCUAGUUGGUAAGGUAACGGCUUACCAAGGCAACGAUGCAUAGCCGACCUGAGAGGGUGAUCGGCCACACUGGAACUGAGACACGGUCCAGACUCCUACGGGAGGCAGCAGUAGGGAAUCUUCCGCAAUGGGCGAAAGCCUGACGGAGCAACGCCGCGUGAGUGAUGAAGGUCUUCGGAUCGUAAAACUCUGUUAUUAGGGAAGAACAUAUGUGUAAGUAACUGUGCACAUCUUGACGGUACCUAAUCAGAAAGCCACGGCUAACUACGUG